CGAUACAUGUUAGUUUAGCACACUGUUUGGAGGUUUGGACAGAAAUGCAGUUGCUUACUCUGAUCACUUUGUUCGCCUAUAUAACCAACGCUGUACACUGUGGGAGAUAUCAAGAAUGUCCCGAGGACUGGACAAGGGCGAAUGAGAAAUGCUACAAGUUCCUUAAUGAACAUGUUGACCGGAAUGAUGCGUCUGGAAGAUGCAAACGACGCUUUUCUGCUUCACUUGCCGUGAUUGACAACGAAGAAGAGAACACAGUCGUUAAAGAUCUUGCCCGCCACCACAGGUACGCAUGGAUUGGCUUACAUCGCCGAAACAGAAAAUUUCAAUGGAACGAGAAUUCUAAGUUGCAGGUGAAAUAUGUUAACUGGCAGGGUGCUCCUCAACGAUACAUGAAAAUGUGCGCAAGGAUCAGCGGCUAUGGUGGCCUAUGGGUGCCUUCCUAUUGCUGGGAAGAAUCCCCUUAUGUGUGUUGGAAAAAAGCCGACUGUGAACCAGGCUGGACUGGAGACGAGUGUGACCGCCAGUGUCACUGCUACCGAGGCUACUUCUGUAAUAGAUUUGACGCUUGCCCGUAUGGAUGUGAACUCGGAUGGGCUGGAAAAUAUUGUGAAAGACGACUAGAAAAACCUACAGUGUCCUUCUACUGCAUGAAAGAAAGAGAAGGCUACUCUCUGGUUGUUUCCUUCGACACGAAAGGCGUUCACUUCACGAAUAUCGGAGCCGUGAACGCUGAAGGGGAGAUCAGCCCAAAGUGUGACAAGAAAACAUUUGUCUGGCUCAAUGGGGAAUCGCGUUUAAAAGUUCAGAUUCAAAACACAUCGGGAGUUUUGGAAUCGGAUUGUCCCACAGAAACGAUCAGUCAGGGGGUCCUGAAAUGGACAUUCAGGCUUCAGAAGAAGAAAGACGUGGUAUCGUUUGAAGAUGAGGACCUCCAAGUCCACUGUGAUCUGUCCGAAGCUGAUGCUGCAUACGAUGACACUGGCAGACUCCCGAUAGAGAAUAUACGAGUGAGGUCCUUAACGUCUGCCACCCAGACUAGGGUCAACGUUCGGACAUACCUUGCUAAUCCUCGCAGUCUGGAACCGGUCACAAAUGUCAGCCUUGGUGUUCCAGUCAGACUGGUGGUCAAGCUUCCAGAAGGGAAUGACGUCGUCAAUCCGUUGUUUUACCCCAGGAACUGUCAAGCUGCAUCUCCAGAUGGAAACGUUACUGUACGACUGACUGACGACUUAGGAUGUUCUCUGAGGGAAGACAUCGGCUUCGGAAUAAUGGACAAAGUCUCUGGUGUGGUCCAGUCGGAGGUAUUCCCACUGUUUCAGCUGCCAGGCUACACAGAAGUGGUGUUCUCUUGUAAUCUUGUACCCUCGUACAACAUUCAGAUACGAGACACAGGAUUGUAGCUCUCGUGGAUGAGGCUUCGAAUGGACAAAGUACAAGAACGAUCAUAUGGAAGGUCAUAACAGUGAACUCUUCACACAAGCCAGUCCACAACUCUGAGACAGCAGCCAUUCCAAACCCUGCAAUCUGUUGGCCACUCACAGCGUUGAUAACCAAACCUCUAUGCUCUAAUUAAACACCAGUAUCACCUUCUCUCA
RNA transcript from Haliotis rubra (blacklip abalone), 1598 nucleotides. RefSeq lists it as uncharacterized. The transcript has 13 exons. The record is from RefSeq and is a predicted model, not a curated record. NCBI's taxonomy places the organism in Eukaryota, Metazoa, Mollusca, Gastropoda, Lepetellida, Haliotidae.